This 149-nucleotide unclassified non-coding RNA is filed under the name Basidiomycota sp. RNAcentral describes it as "partial contains small subunit ribosomal RNA and internal transcribed spacer 1". The stretch from base 1 to 47 matches the Rfam family "Eukaryotic small subunit ribosomal RNA", at positions 1785 to 1831 of the family's 1831-position model. The record is from RNAcentral. Lineage: Eukaryota; Fungi; Basidiomycota.
AAAGUCGUAACAAGGUUUCCGUAGGUGAACCUGCGGAAGGAUCAUUGGGAAGAGAGUGGGGGAGAAGAGAGUUGGAAUGGGGAGAGCAAAUUAUUACAUUAUCUACAAUCAAACACACACAACUGCUGACAAUGGAUCUCUGGGCUCUU